Molecule: ribosomal RNA, 484 nt
Filed under: uncultured bacterium
Lineage: Bacteria
Description: partial 16S ribosomal RNA
Rfam family: Bacterial small subunit ribosomal RNA
Source: RNAcentral
AUUGAACGCUGGCGGCAUGCUUUACACAUGCAAGUCGAACGGCAGCGCGGGCUUCGGCCUGGCGGCGAGUGGCGAACGGGUGAGUAAUACAUCGGAACGUGCCCAGUAGUGGGGGAUAGCUCGGCGAAAGCCGGAUUAAUACCGCAUACGACCUGAGGGUGAAAGCGGGGGAUCUUCGGACCUCGCGCUAUUGGAGCGGCCGAUGGCAGGUUAGCUAGUUGGUGGGGUAAAGGCCUACCAAGGCGACGAUCUGUAGCUGGUCUGAGAGGACGACCAGCCACACUGGGACUGAGACACGGCCCAGACUCCUACGGGAGGCAGCAGUGGGGAAUUUUGGACAAUGGGCGAAAGCCUGAUCCAGCAAUGCCGCGUGUGUGAUGAAGGCCUUCGGGUUGUAAAGCACUUUUGGCGGGAACGAAAAGGACUGUGCCAAUACCACGGUUCGAUGACGGUACCCGCAGAAUAAGCACCGGCUAACUACGUG